Molecule: non-coding RNA, 104 nt
Organism: Cucumis melo (muskmelon)
Lineage: Eukaryota; Viridiplantae; Streptophyta; Magnoliopsida; Cucurbitales; Cucurbitaceae
Source: Rfam
GUGCCUUUUUGGGACAUCCAAUAAAAUUGGAAUGAUACAGAGGAGAUUAUCAAGGCCCCUGUGCAUGGAUGACCUUAUAUAGUUCUAAGUUAGAUCAGAUUUAU